UGGAUUGUAAUUAAUUAAAACUUAAUCUAAAUAUGAUAAUUAAAUGUCUAUAUUUACUGAAUCAUAUAGUUAUCCCCAAAACAAUUAGAGAUAUAAGAGGAAAAAUUGGCACAUCAUAUCAAGUAAAAUAUCAAAUUUGCAUUAAAUAGCCAUUUUACAACUGUUUUAGGCUAAUGAGUAAUGACUUUAGCAUUACAUGACUCAUAAAUCAAGGGGU
Molecule: long non-coding RNA, 217 nt
Filed under: Capsicum annuum
Lineage: Eukaryota; Viridiplantae; Streptophyta; Magnoliopsida; Solanales; Solanaceae
Description: long non-coding RNA (CANN_LNC004867)
Source: RNAcentral